RNA transcript from Octodon degus (degu), 1317 nucleotides. It is a transcript of the gene named malate dehydrogenase, mitochondrial pseudogene, with no coding region annotated. The transcript has a single exon. Lineage: Eukaryota; Metazoa; Chordata; Mammalia; Rodentia; Octodontidae. The record is from RefSeq and is a predicted model, not a curated record.
ACUCUCGCGAGACCAGGCGGACCGGAGCCGGGCAGCCCUGCGCAGUGUGGAGGUCGUUGGAGUCACAGUCGGCCAGCUCCUGCACCUGCGGCCCCAAGCCCUUCCCGCUCCAAUCAUGCUGUCCGCCUUCGCCCGGCCCGCCUGCGCCGCUCUCCACCGCAGCUUCAGCAGCUCGGCCCAGAACAAUGCUAAAGUAGCUGUGCUCAGGGCUUCUGGAGGAAUCGGGCAGCCCCUGUCACUGCUACUGAAGAACAGCCCCUUGGUGAGCCGCCUGACCCUCUACGAUGUCGCGCACACCCCUGGGGUGGCUGCGGAUCUGAGCCACAUUGAGACCAGGGCCACUGUGAAAGGCUACCUCGGACCCGAGCAGCUGCCAGACUGCCUCAAAGGCUGUGAUGUGGUGGUCAUUCCAGCUGGAGUCCCCCGAAAACCAGGCAUGACACGGGAUGACCUGUUCAAUACCAAUGCCACAAUUGUGGCCACCCUGACUGCUGCCUGUGCCCAGCACUGUCCUGAAGCCAUGAUCUGCAUCAUCGCCAACCCGGUUAACUCCACUAUCCCGAUCACAGCAGAAGUUUUCAAGAAGCACGGAGUGUACAACCCCAACAAGAUCUUUGGUGUGACGACCCUGGACAUUGUCAGAGCCAUCACUUUUGUGGCAGAGCUGAAGGGCCUGGAUCCAGCUCGGGUCAACGUUCCUGUCAUUGGUGGCCACGCUGGGAAGACCAUCAUCCCCCUGAUCUCUCAGUGUACCCCCAAAGUGGACUUUCCCAAGACCAGCUGGCAACACUCACGGGGCGGAUCCAGGAGGCCGGCACGGAGGUUGUAAAGGCCAAGGCUGGAGCAGGCUCUGCCACCCUGUCUAUGGCGUACGCCGGCGCCCGCUUUGUCUUCUCCCCCGUGGAUGCGAUGAACGGGAAGGAGGGCGUUGUUGAGUGCUCCUUCGUUCAGUCAAAGGAGACGGAGUGUACCUACUUCUCCACACCGUUGCUGCUGGGGAAAAAAGGUCUGGAGAAGAACCUGGGCCUCGGCAAGAUCUCCCCCUUCGAGGAGAAGAUGAUCGCCGAAGCCAUUCCUGAGCUGAAAGCCUCCAUCAAGAAAGGGGAAGACUUUGUCAAGAACAUGAAGUGAGGCUCAGUCUGCGAACAGCCGGUUUCUUAAUUUAUUAAGGCAUCAUGUCACUGUAAAGCCAUUUCGGAGACCUUUGUACUUUAAUUUGCUUUAAUAAUGAGUAUUGCAUCAGCAUUACCACCAUCCUCCCGCUGUGGCUGGUCUGUUGGCACAACAAUAAAUGCAGACUUUGAUUUUCUUUUUCAA